AAGGCGAAAAUGGUAUGGUCAUGAAAGAAGGACCUGAAAGAUUUUGGCCUGCUGACCUUGUAUUAUUAUCAAUCGGCUUCGAAGGUACAGAAC
RNAcentral lists this transfer RNA (93 nucleotides) under Staphylococcus aureus. RNAcentral describes it as "tRNA-Ser-TGA". The record is from RNAcentral. Lineage: Bacteria; Bacillati; Bacillota; Bacilli; Caryophanales; Staphylococcaceae.